AACGCGAAGAACCUUACCAAGGCUUGACAUAUACGAGAACGCUGCAGAAAUGUAGAACUUUGGACACGUACACAGGUGGUGCAUGGCUGGAGCGUGGUGAGAUGUUGGGUUAAGCCGCAGCGAGCGCAACCCCUGCUAUGUUGCCAGCAUAGUUGGGGACACGCCAGACUGCCGGUGACAAACCGGAGGAAGGUGGGGAUGACGAAGAAUGCCCCUUAUGCAGGGCUACACACGUGCUACAUUGGCCGGUACAGAGGGCUGCGAUACCGCGAGGUGGAGCGAACCAAAAAGCCGGUUGGUGGAUUGGAGGCUGAAACGCCCAUGAAGGUGGAGUUGCUAGUAACCGGAAGCAAUGCCGGGGUGAAUACGUCCGGGUUGUACACACCG
RNAcentral lists this ribosomal RNA (387 nucleotides) under uncultured Actinomycetes bacterium. Its description in RNAcentral is "bacterial SSU rRNA". It matches the Rfam family "Bacterial small subunit ribosomal RNA", at positions 958 to 1392 of the family's 1533-position model. The record is from RNAcentral. Lineage: Bacteria; Bacillati; Actinomycetota; Actinomycetes.